This 274-nucleotide ribosomal RNA is filed under the name uncultured bacterium. RNAcentral's name for it is "partial 16S ribosomal RNA". It matches the Rfam family "Bacterial small subunit ribosomal RNA", at positions 523 to 796 of the family's 1533-position model. The record is from RNAcentral.
AUACGGAGGGUGCAAGCGUUGUUCGGAAUCACUGGGCGUAAAGGGCGCGCAGGCGGUUUGGUAAGUCAGAUGUGAAAGCCCAUGGCUCAACCAUGGAAGUGCAUUUGAAACUGUCAGACUUGAGUACUGGAGGGGAAAGUGGAAUUCCCGGUGUAGAGGUGAAAUUCGUAGAUAUCGGGAGGAAUACCGGUGGCGAAGGCGACUUUCUGGCUAGAUACUGACGCUGAGGCGCGAAAGCGUGGGGAGCAAACAGCAUUAGAUACCCUAGUAGUCC